UCCUACUGUCUCCCUACUCCAAUCAGUGAAACUGCUCUCUCCGUGAAGAAGCGGGGAUACAAAUAUAAGACGAGAAGACCCCAUGGAGCUUUAAACCCAACGACACCCAUUUUCUUUAUACCCUAGUAUUCAUUUGGCUAUGUUUGAUUGGUUUUAGGUUGGGGUGACCACGGAGCAUAAAAUAACCUCCACGAAGAAGAGACUAAUAAUCUUUAUCAAAGAAGUACACUUCUAAGAAUUAACAAAUUAAUUUCCAAUGAUCCGAUAUUCGAUCAACGAACCAAGUUACCCUGGGGAUAACAGCGCAAUCCACCUCAAGAGCUCCUAUCGACAGGUGGGUUUACGACCUCGAUGUUGGAUCAGGAUAUCCCAGUGGUGUAGCAGCUACUAAAGGUUCGUUUGUUCAACGAUUAAAAUCCU
Molecule: ribosomal RNA, 420 nt
Filed under: Boophis andohahela
Lineage: Eukaryota; Metazoa; Chordata; Amphibia; Anura; Mantellidae
Description: partial 16S ribosomal RNA
Rfam family: Bacterial large subunit ribosomal RNA
Source: RNAcentral